UGCGGGGUGGAGCAGUCUGGUAGCUCGUCGGGCUCAUAACCCGAAGGUCGCGGGUUCGAAUCCCGCCCCCGCUA
This 74-nucleotide transfer RNA is filed under the name bacterium. RNAcentral describes it as "tRNA-Met". It matches the Rfam family "tRNA". Rfam says of the family: Transfer RNA (tRNA) molecules are approximately 80 nucleotides in length. Their secondary structure includes four short double-helical elements and three loops (D, anti-codon, and T loops). The record is from RNAcentral. RNAcentral also lists the same sequence under 23 other names.